UCGGGAAUUUUGGGCAAUGGGGGAAACCCUGACCCAGCAACGCCGCGUGAAGGAUGAAGUAUUUCGGUAUGUAAACUUCGAAAGAAUAGGAAGAAUAAAUGACGGUACUAUUUAUAAGGUCCGGCUAACUACGUGCCAGCAGCCGCGGUAAUACGUAGGGACCAAGCGUUGUUCGGAUUUACUGGGCGUAAAGGGCGCGUAGGCGGCAUGACAAGUCACUUGUGAAAUCUCUGGGCUUAACCCAGAACGGCCAAGUGAUACUGUCGCGCUAGAGUGCAGAAGGGGCAAUCGGAAUUCUUGGUGUAGCGGUGAAAUGCGUAGAUAUCAAGAGGAACACCUGAGGUGAAGACGGGUUGCUGGGCUGACACUGACGCUGAGGCGCGAAAGCCAGGGGAGCAAACGGGAUUAGAUACCCCGUAGUCCCUGAGCGGGCUGGCAAGGCGCAU
Molecule: ribosomal RNA, 446 nt
Filed under: uncultured bacterium
Lineage: Bacteria
Description: bacterial SSU rRNA
Rfam family: Bacterial small subunit ribosomal RNA
Source: RNAcentral